This 229-nucleotide ribosomal RNA is filed under the name uncultured bacterium. RNAcentral's name for it is "partial 16S ribosomal RNA". It matches the Rfam family "Bacterial small subunit ribosomal RNA", at positions 568 to 796 of the family's 1533-position model. The record is from RNAcentral.
UGCGUAGGCGGAAUAUUAAGUCAGUGGUGAAAUCCUGCGGCUCAACCGUAGAACUGCCAUUGAUACUGAUAUUCUUGAAUGUAGUUGAGGUAGGCGGAAUGUGUAAUGUAGCGGUGAAAUGCUUAGAUAUUACACAGAACACCGAUUGCGGAGGCAGCUUACUAAACUAUGAUUGACGCUGAGGCACGAAAGCGUGGGGAGCGAACAGGAUUAGAUACCCUGGUAGUCC